AUUGAACGCUGGCGGCAGGCCUAACACAUGCAAGUCGAGCGGAUGAAGGGAGCUUGCUCCUGGAUUCAGCGGCGGACGGGUGAGUAAUGCCUAGGAAUCUGCCUGGUAGUGGGGGAUAACGUCCGGAAACGGGCGCUAAUACCGCAUACGUCCUGAGGGAGAAAGUGGGGGAUCUUCGGACCUCACGCUAUCAGAUGAUCCUAGGUCGGAUUAGCUAGUUGGUGGGGUAAAGGCCUACCAAGGCGACGAUCCGUAACUGGUCUGAGAGGAUGAUCAGUCACACUGGAACUGAGACACGGUCCAGACCCCUACGGGAGGCAGCAGUGGGGAAUAUUGGACAAUGGGCGAAAGCCUGAUCCAGCCAUGCCGCGUGUGUGAAGAAGGUCUUCGGAUUGUAAAGCACUUUAAGUUGGGAGGAAGGGCAGUAAGUUAAUACCUUGCUGUUUUGACGUUACCAACAGAAUAAGCACCGGCUAACUUCGUG
RNAcentral lists this ribosomal RNA (484 nucleotides) under uncultured bacterium. Its description in RNAcentral is "partial 16S ribosomal RNA". It matches the Rfam family "Bacterial small subunit ribosomal RNA", at positions 30 to 507 of the family's 1533-position model. The record is from RNAcentral.